UGGGGAAUUUUGGACAAUGGGCGAAAGCCUGAUCCAGCAAUGCCGCGUGUGUGAAGAAGGCCUUCGGGUUGUAAAGCACUUUUGUCCGGAAAGAAAUCCUUGGCUCUAAUACAGUCGGGGGAUGACGGUACCGGAAGAAUAAGCACCGGCUAACUACGUGCCAGCAGCCGCGGUAAUACGUAGGGUGCAAGCGUUAAUCGGAAUUACUGGGCGUAAAGCGUGCGCAGGCGGUUUGCUAAGACCGAUGUGAAAUCCCCGGGCUCAACCUGGGAACUGCAUUUGGUGACUGGCAGGCUAGAGUAUGGCAGAGGGGGGUAGAAUUCCACGUGUAGCAGUGAAAUGCGUAGAGAUGUGGAGGAAUACCGAUGGCGAAGGCAGCCCCCUGGGCCAAUACUGACGCUCAUGCACGAAAGCGUGGGGAGCAAACAGGAUUAGAUACCCUGGUAGUCCACGCCCUAAACGAUGUC
This 467-nucleotide ribosomal RNA is filed under the name uncultured bacterium. RNAcentral's name for it is "partial 16S ribosomal RNA". It matches the Rfam family "Bacterial small subunit ribosomal RNA", at positions 355 to 813 of the family's 1533-position model. The record is from RNAcentral.